Molecule: long non-coding RNA, 957 nt
Organism: Cucumis sativus (cucumber)
Lineage: Eukaryota; Viridiplantae; Streptophyta; Magnoliopsida; Cucurbitales; Cucurbitaceae
Exons: 4
Source: RefSeq, a predicted model, not a curated record
UUAUAUAAUUAUUAUUAAAUUCCUUUUCAGUCAAUUGUUGCCACAUGCUGCAUCAAUUGUACGACUCAUUGUGAAGUACUUCAAGAAGUGUGUCUCUGCAGAACUGAGAGUAAAAGUCUACGCAGUUGCUAAGUCAUUGAUGACGUCUUUGGGUGUUGGAAUGGCUGCAUCUCUUUCUCGAGAUGUGAUUGACAAUGUACUAGGUGAUUUGAACCCUGUAAAUAAUGAGAGUUCUGAUCCAUCUAAUGUGAAUCCAAAGGACACGCAAAGAGAUUACCGCAACACCAUAAUAAGAGAAAACGCCCUUCAGUUCCCACUUCCAUGAAAGGCAGCACGAGAGGAAUGAACCAGAGGACAUUACCAGCAGCUGUAGCUAUACCUCAGUCCACUUGAGGAUAGCUGCACUUGAGGCUUUGAAGACUCUUCUUACAUCGGCUGGUGCUUUGAGAUCUGAAGAAGGAUGGCGUGCAAAAGUUGAACAUCUUUUAAUAACAACUGCAACAUCUUCUCUUCAAUGGCCACGAGCCUCGACGACACCUUUUCCAAGCCAAUGAAUCUAUUGAGGUUUGGGUGGAUUAUCAGUUGGCGGCAUUUCAUGCACUACUGGCUUCUUUUUUGUCUGCUGUCCAUGUACGCCCACUGGCUUUGGCUCAAGGUCUCGAGCUCUUUCGUAAAGGUAAACAAGAAAAUGGAACCAAACUUGGUGAGUUUUGUGCCAUGCUCUCUUAGCCAUGGAGGUUCUAAUACAUCCGAGGGUCCUUCCCCUCUCGGAUUUCUUGCCAUUGCGCUUGAGCUCUCCUGAACCACAAGCUGCCUUUAAAUUCCAGGAAGAUCUGUACUUCAACAGUAACGAUUCUAGAAAUUGUUGAAGGUCGGCCCGCAAAGCAUGGAGCAGAUGGCCUCCGAGGCUCUAAUUAGUGAUGAUGUGGUAGAUAACAAUGAAAUGACGUAUAGCAC